AGAAAACAGAGAACAUAAGCUGCAUCUACAGCUCACCAUUCUCAAGUAGGCCCUAGCAAUUAUGUUCCAAGUAUUAAGUAGUAUUCAUUAAUUGGUAGCAAAAUAUAAGACUCUCAUAGACUUUUUCUGCCUGUCUGGGUUGAAAAUGCCAUCAUUCCAAGUCUCAUAGUCCUGAUUAGCUAGAAUUAGUCAUAGCCCAACGGCCCCUGGCAUAAAUGUAUGCAUUUUAAAAGACUCUAUAGUAUAAGGCUAUGUUCUGGGGCUGGGAAUAUGGCCUAGU
Molecule: long non-coding RNA, 280 nt
Organism: Perognathus longimembris pacificus (Pacific pocket mouse)
Lineage: Eukaryota; Metazoa; Chordata; Mammalia; Rodentia; Heteromyidae
Exons: 3
Source: RefSeq, a predicted model, not a curated record